Arachis ipaensis is the source of this 1136-nucleotide non-coding RNA. Lineage: Eukaryota; Viridiplantae; Streptophyta; Magnoliopsida; Fabales; Fabaceae. The record is from RefSeq and is a predicted model, not a curated record.
ACAGCUGCCAACUCCUACCUACCUUUAUGUGCUUCUUCCUCUCUUCGUCGUACAGUUGCUUCUUCUCUCCGUGCACGAGCUGCUUCCGCCGCUGCCGGUUCCGCCGCCGCUGGCGUCGCACGAUCUCUCUCUGUCAUCCCUUGCGUCACACGAGCUCCCUCUGUUGCCGCUCUCGUCACGUCUACUCCCAUCAUCGCAGAGCUCUCCGCCGCCACUCUCAUUGCAUCUGCUCCCUCUGGCGCCUCUUCCAUCUAAUCUCAACAACUCGCUCUCUCGGUUCUUCUCGUAACCAUCUCGAAUUUCAGCAAGUUGAGAAAUCUAGAGAAGGGUCUUCCACAAUACAAAGCAGCACCUUUGUUUGAUAAGCUUGUGUUUGAUAAGACAAAACAAGCAUUAGGUGGACGAGUUCAAAUCUUGUUAUUAGGAGCUGCUCCUUUGCCUAGACAUGUUGAGGAGUUUAUGAGGGCCACUAGUGGAUCUACAUUAUCACAAGGAUAUGGUCUUACUGAAAGCUGUGCUGGGUGUUUCACAGCAAUAGGUGAUUUUUAUCUCUGAUUUUUGUUCUUGAGACAGUUACCAGAAACAAAACAUAGAAUUUCAGAAUUCAGAGUUUGAUAUCAGCUUUAAGUUUGACUCAUUCUGCACUGAACUUACUCAUCUUAACGUCACAUAGUGCUGCCAUGUCUUCCAAUCAAUCAUCUUCUGGGUCUGCUGGUGUUAAGGAGAAUGCAAGCGAGGUGGUGAUUGUGGAUGAUGAUAAAGAGGAAGGAGAGUUGGAGGAGGGUGAGAUUGAUGAUGAUGGCACUGACCCUGAAGCAUCAGUAACAAAGAGGGUUCAGAGUGUUGCUAAAUGUGGUGUAGUUGCUUCAGAUACUGAUUCCACAUCUCAUAAGCUCAGUGUUAGGGAGGUUUUGGAGGGUGUUACAGUUGCUAAUGUGGAGGAAUCGUUUGAGGGGACUUGCUCUACUCAUGGUGCCAUCAGAAAUGAUUUCACUGACUUGACAUAAGCUUACAUUGCAUUGCUUUUCAAUCUGCUCUCUUUACAUUAGUUUUGGAACUUUGCACGGAACCUGUUUGUGAUAAUGCUCUUUUGUAUUCGUUACUGAAAUUCUUAAUUGCUAUUUGUCAUUUGAUAA